Long non-coding RNA from Equus caballus (horse), 2228 nucleotides. RefSeq lists it as uncharacterized. The record is from RefSeq and is a predicted model, not a curated record. NCBI's taxonomy places the organism in Eukaryota, Metazoa, Chordata, Mammalia, Perissodactyla, Equidae.
UUGGAGCAGCUCAGAGCUAUUGGACAACGUUCCUGCUUCUGGAUCAUAAAGAGCCUCCUGUAGCCAGUGUAGGUCUAGGACCAAUUGGGAGCCUUCAGAGCUGUUGUCCAAUAGGGAACUCAUGUGCCAUCUCCGCACAGACUUGGAUUGUAAAUGGUCCGUGGUCCCCCUGGGGGCUCUGAUGGGUCAGACCCCAUUGGAGCCAGUCGGGCACCUUGGGGAGGAUUUCAUUCUACUGAAUGUCACGCCUGCUUCUGAGAUGCCUCUCCAGCACCUGCUUCCCCCUCCUGCCACAUUCUGUCUCUUUUUCUCAAUAAGCGAGCUCCUCAGUUCUCACAGAUGCUGUGUCUGUCUUAAGAGGAGCUAGAGUUGUCUCCUCAAUAACAUGGGUCAUUGUUUUCUGUGUUUCUGCCUGAGAAUUUAGAGCCUUUCUGACUAAUGUAUUUUUCUUACAAAACUGAACGGAACUGAUGGCCCAAAGGGCCAGCUGCUUUUAUUAGCCACAAAGUUUAAAAUUCCCUCUUUUCCAACUAUGACUGUAUCAAUAAUGACUAUUGUGGCAACCAUUUUGAUUACCACACCAGUUUAAUCGCUUUGGUAAACUCUCUUCACUUUGCAAAUCCCCUUUGGACUGCAGAAUUGGUGAUAGGACUAACAAAAUGAAGAAUACAGUCUUAGGAGUUAAUGGACUUCAUAAUUUGUCCUCUGUUUGAAAACGCAACUGUAGCUCUGUGAUACUCAAAGAACAUAUUCAGAACUUCAAUAUGGAGAAUUAUUUACAACUCAACUGAUUGUAAAACAUAUAAUAAAAAUGUGGUCGAGGUCUAAUUUUCCAGAGUGUUGGUGUGUAUUGUACAUAAGCCCCGCUCAAUAUGAGUUCUCUGUAGUUCAGCGCAAAACCUUUUCUCAUUAGAGAGAGCAGAAGAUUCCUGGAGAAGUCAGGCAAAGAUCAUUAGUACUAGUCUCUUGAAAAGAAGAUUAAUUUUUAUUUUUAGACAUCUAUUCAUGUGUACAGGUGAGAUUUAAAAAAAUGAAUGAAUUGCUAAUGAAAUAGUAUUCUGUACUUAAUGGUCAGUUUCAGAAUAAGUGGAACAGGCAACUGCUUGUGAAGAGUAAGACCUUCUGUCUCCCCAAACAUCAACCCAUCUCCCACUAUUUUCAAUAUUUUAUCUUUGUUCCUUUGAGACUAGAAAGCCUUUGUUCUUCAAAGCCUCUAUAGACAGGAAGAUUUUGACAGGAAAGGAAGAGGGUCAAUGGGUUCCUAAUUGUAGAAAUAUAAAUGUGCAAACAUUUAGAGGCACGAAACAGGAUAUUUGGGAAAAGUGAUUUUAUCAGGUAAUGCUUUAAAAGCAAUUUAAUGGCUAGUAUUCACUGUAUGAACGUUGUAUGCCAGGUAUCAUGAGAAUAACUUUACAUCGAUUAUCACAUUUAAUCUUUCUAUAAACCCAAUUGUAAAGAUGGCCUCAUUUCAAAGUGAAGGGAAUUAAUCUUAGAAGUGUGGAGGCGCGAGUGAGUGAUUGCCCUGGGCUUUGCCUUUGAAAUGUUUCCAGAAUUGGGCUGCUUUUAACCACAUCCACCGCUGUUGUCUAAACCAUCUUCAUUUCCACCUGGCCAUUGCUAGAGCCUUCAUUCUGGUCUCUCUGUUUCCAUUUUGGCUCUCCUACAAUCCAUUCUGCCCAGGGCAUUCAGAAAAGUAAUUCUGAAAUUGAUGUAAGAUCAGGUCACCCCUUUGCUUAAAACUCCCCAAAGGUUAUCCAUCUAAAAUAAAAUCUAAACUCUUUACCGCAGCCUACAAGGCACUAUGUGGUUCCAUAUUUUACAGGUGCCCAAGUAGUACAGAAACACACAAAAGCAGACAUAUUAAAGGACACUCGGAUAACAUUGCUGGUCAGGAGCCACUUAGCACUGGCCCAGGACGGCCCCAUCCUAACGUGCACCCUGGAACUCACGCUGCACAGGCCCCGGGGAAGGGUCUUUCCACAGUUUUUACCUGUGUCUUCAAAACAAAAGACAACUAUAUGCAAAACCUGUGAAUGCUUGUGAAUUUUGUUGUUGCCAACACCUGGGAUUGAUGUGACUUCAAAGUCAGUGGAAGAACUCAAGAGAAAGGACAAACUAAUUAACUUCUCAAAUCCAUUCUCUCGAACAGCAUGAAUACAAUAUAUUCUUCAUAAAUAGCGCCCUGUAUCUUUGUUCUCUUCCAAUUCGUGUUCUGAAAAAUUGCUUGU